UCCAUGAUGGUUGCAGCGAUUAUUGU
This 26-nucleotide small RNA is filed under the name Bombyx mori (domestic silkworm). Its description in RNAcentral is "ovarian small RNA-26997". Lineage: Eukaryota; Metazoa; Arthropoda; Insecta; Lepidoptera; Bombycidae. The record is from RNAcentral.